This 473-nucleotide ribosomal RNA is filed under the name uncultured organism. RNAcentral describes it as "partial 16S ribosomal RNA". It matches the Rfam family "Bacterial small subunit ribosomal RNA", at positions 335 to 799 of the family's 1533-position model. The record is from RNAcentral.
ACUCCUACGGGAGGCAGCAGUGGGGAAUUUUGGACAAUGGGCGAAAGCCUGAUCCAGCAAUGCCGCGUGAGUGAAGAAGGCCUUCGGGUUGUAAAGCUCUUUUGUCAGGGAAGAAACGGUGAAAGCUAAUAUCUUUUGCUAAUGACGGUACCUGAAGAAUAAGCACCGGCUAACUACGUGCCAGCAGCCGCGGUAAUACGUCGGGUGCAAGCGUUAAUCGGAAUUACUGGGCGUAAAGCGUGCGCAGGCGGUUUUGUAAGUCUGAGGUGAAAUCCCCGGGCUCAACCUGGGAAUUGCAUUGGAGACUGCAAGGCUAGAAUCUGGCAGAGGGGGGUAGAAUUCCACGUGUAGCAGUGAAAUGCGUAGAUAUGUGGAGGAACACCGAUGGCGAAGGCAGCCCCCUGGGUCAAGAUUGACGCUCAUGCACGAAAGCGUGGGGAGCAAACAGGAUUAGAAACCCUAGUAGUCCCAUG